GGGCUGUAGCUCAGUUGGUAGAGCAUCUGCUUUGCAAGCAGGGGGUCAGGAGUUCGAGCCUCCUCAGCUCC
RNAcentral lists this transfer RNA (71 nucleotides) under marine eukaryotic metagenome. It matches the Rfam family "tRNA". Rfam says of the family: Transfer RNA (tRNA) molecules are approximately 80 nucleotides in length. Their secondary structure includes four short double-helical elements and three loops (D, anti-codon, and T loops). The record is from RNAcentral.